Molecule: ribosomal RNA, 383 nt
Filed under: uncultured eukaryote
Lineage: Eukaryota
Description: partial 18S ribosomal RNA
Rfam family: Eukaryotic small subunit ribosomal RNA
Source: RNAcentral
CAAUAGCGUAUAUUAAAGUUGUUGCAGUUAAAAAGCUCGUAGUUGGAUUUCUGGUGGGAGCGAUCGGUCUGGCGCUUAGCGCGAGUACUUGCAUCGUCUCCGGCCAUCCUUGGGGAGAGUCUGUCUGGCAUUAAGUUGUCGGGCAGAGGAUCCUCAUCGUUUACUGUGAAAAAAUUAGAGUGUUCAAAGCAGGCUUAUGCCGUUGAAUAUAUUAGCAUGGAAUAAUAAGAUAGGACUUUGGUACUAUUUUGUUGGUUUGCGCACCAAAGUAAUGAUUAAUAGGGACAGUUGGGGGUAGUCGUAUUCCGUUGUCAGAGGUGAAAUUCUUGGAUUUACGGGAGACGAACUACUGCGAAAGCAUUUACCAAGGAUGUUUUCAUUAA